RNAcentral lists this ribosomal RNA (856 nucleotides) under Trichomonas vaginalis. RNAcentral describes it as "SSU rRNA". It matches the Rfam family "Eukaryotic small subunit ribosomal RNA", at positions 87 to 1133 of the family's 1831-position model. Lineage: Eukaryota; Parabasalia; Trichomonadida; Trichomonadidae. The record is from RNAcentral.
CUGCGAAUAGCUCAUAAAUACGCUCAGAAUCUAUUUGGCGGCGACCAAAAGGUCCUAAAUGGAUAGCAGCAGCAACUCUGGUGCUAAUACAUGCGAUUGUUUCUCCAGAUGUGAAUUAUGGAGGAAAAGUUGACCUCAUCAGAGGCACGCCAUUCGACUGAGUGACCUAUCAGCUUGUACUUAGGGUCUUUACCUAGGUAGGCUAUCACGGGUAACGGGCGGUUACCGUCGGACUGCCGGAGAAGGCGCCUGAGAGAUAGCGACUAUAUCCACGGGUAGCAGCAGGCGCGAAACUUUCCCACUCGAGACUUUCGGAGGAGGUAAUGACCAGUUCCAUUGGUGCCUUUCGGUACUGUGGAUAGGGGUACGGUUUUCCACCGUACCGAAACCUAGCAGAGGGCCAGUCUGGUGCCAGCAGCUGCGGUAAUUCCAGCUCUGCGAGUUUGCUCCCAUAUUGUUGCAGUUAAAACGCCCGUAGUCUGAAUUGGCCAGCAGUGGUCGUACGUAUUUUUACGUUCACUGUGAACAAAUCAGGACGCUUAGAGUAUGGCUACAUGAAUGACUCAGCGCAGUAUGAAGUCUUUGUUUUCUUCCGAAAACAAGCUCAAUGAGAGCCAUCGGGGGUAGAUCUAUCUCAUGACGAGUGGUGGAAUACUUUGACUCAUGAGAGAGAAGCUGAGGCGAAGGCGUCUACCUAGAGGGUUUCUGUCGAUCAAGGGCGAGAGUAGGAGUAUCCAACAGGAUUAGAGACCCUGGUAGUUCCUACCUUAAACGAUGCCGACAGGAGUAUGUCAUUUGUUAAUGGCAGAAUCUUUGGAGAAAUCAUAGUUCUUGGGCUCUGGGGACUACGACCGCU